UAACAAGGAUUCCCCUAGUAACGGCGAGUGAACCGGGAAGAGCUCAAAUUUGAAAUCUGGCGUGCUCAGUGCGUCCGAGUUGUAAUCUAUAGAAACGUUUUCCGUGCCGGACCGUGUCCAAGUCCCUUGGAACAGGGUAUCAAAGAGGGUGAUAAUCCCGUACUUGACACGACGACCGGUGCUCUGUGAUACGUUCUCUACGAGUCGAGUUGUUUGGGAAUGCAGCUCAAAAUGGGUGGUGAGUUCCAUCUAAAGCUAAAUAUUGGCGAGAGACCGAUAGCGAACAAGUACCGUGAGGGAAAGAUGAAAAGCACUUUGGAAAGAGAGUUAAACAGUACGUGAAAUUGUUGAAAGGGAAACGAUUGAAGUCAGUCGUGACUGAGAGGCUCAGCCGGUUCUGCCGGUGUAUUCCCCUCAGUCGGGUCAACAUCAGUUUUGUCCGGUGGAUAAGGGCAGUUGGAAGGUGGCAGCCUCGGGUGUGUUAUAGCCAGCUGUCGCAUACAUUUGAAAGGCUGAGGAAUGCAGCUCGCCUUUAUGGCCGGGGUCGCCCNACGUUCGAGCUUAGGAUGUG
RNAcentral lists this ribosomal RNA (571 nucleotides) under Cryptococcus sp. UFMG DH 2.19. Its description in RNAcentral is "eukaryotic LSU rRNA". It matches the Rfam family "Eukaryotic large subunit ribosomal RNA", at positions 66 to 627 of the family's 3401-position model. Lineage: Eukaryota; Fungi; Basidiomycota; Tremellomycetes; Tremellales; Cryptococcaceae. The record is from RNAcentral.